Long non-coding RNA from Pecten maximus, 2268 nucleotides. RefSeq lists it as uncharacterized. NCBI's taxonomy places the organism in Eukaryota, Metazoa, Mollusca, Bivalvia, Pectinida, Pectinidae. The record is from RefSeq and is a predicted model, not a curated record. The transcript has 2 exons.
CUACGGGUGGUUUUACUCCGGGUACUCCGGGUUUCCUCCACCUCCAAAACCUGGCACGUCCUUAAAUGAUCCUGGCUGUUAAUAGGACGUUAAACAAAAUAAGCCAAACCAAUUUGCUCGGAAAUAUAUUUUGGUAUUUGAGGAAUUUCAGUUUUCCUGAAUUGGAAAAAUCAUCUUAACUGGACAAUUUGUUUUAAAAAAAAAAGGUUUAAGAAUCAUUAUGACCAAUACAGUCACAAAUGCCCCAUUUUAGACCCCCUUUUUAGACUUCCUGUUUUUCUAGGACAAAUGUAAAGACUACUUGGUUUAUUACAGAUAAAAAUGCUAAAAUAAAUAUUGACUAAUCAAUAUCAAAAUUAUCUAGUCAUAAAAUGAAUAUUUGGAUGUUUUUAUAUGCCAGGUGUAUGCUGGAAUGCAAACUUUAAUUUUUUUUUUUUUUUUUACAAUUUCUGUAAAUGUACUUGAAUUGCCUGCAUAAACCUUGACCAGCAUUCAGAUUUUGUAACUCAAUGCCAAGUUUAUAUAACUCGGCUACAACUAUAGAAACUAACUAUUUUAUAUUGAUAUCUAAAUGUUUAAAUAUUUUAUAAAUCAUAUUAUUUUGUAGAGUGACUCUUUAUCCUUAAAGUGUAAAUUAAGUGUUGAUCUUCCUAGAUCUGAGUUUAAGAUUUUUUUCUAGUUAAACCCUAGUUUACUACAUCAUGUUAAAAGGUUACACAAGUUUUAUAUCUAGAUUGCUAGUCCCUGGGUUUAUCGCCCCAUGAACAUCUGGGGUCAUUUUGAGCCCAGGUCUCCUUGUAGUAGUUGGUGGCUACCUCAUUGAACAACAUACAGAAGCCCCAUCGCAUACCAUCUAGAGCAAUUAGGGUAAAGUGUCUUGCCCAAGGACACAACCACCACAGCACAGACCAGCCUGUUUCUCAGCUUUCUGAGAAACAAAAACCGACACCACGCACCUCGGAUCUUCACCUGAGGUGAGGUGGCCCGGCGCUCAAACCGACUGAGCUAUCAAGGCCUACUUCUAUAUAGAACAAGAUAACUAUCGUCAAAUAUACUGAUUAACUUGUAUUUGUUGUCAUUAAAUUUAUUAAAAAUACUCAACAUUUUAUAAUGAAUCAUCCGUCAUAAAAUGCAGUAUUCGUUCCUGUGUCAUCAUGAAUUGUACCCUGUAGUUUUUUUUUUUUUUUUAAUUCUUUAUAUUUUCUUAAAAAAUAUAUAUAUAUAUAUACAUAGCAUUUAACACUGUAGUACAUGCAUGUUUGUAUGUCUUGGUCUUAGUUAAAAAUGGCAACAUUAAUAAAUUGUCAUAUUGAAAUCAUCAUUGUUAUUGUAACAACAAAUAUUUUGUACUUUUGUAAAGAAAGAAAGUUAUACUGCCAAAUUUAGAUAUUUUUAAAACAUCUUAUUAGAAUGUGGAGAGUAUUCGUUCAUUUCAUAUGUGCCUAUCUCUCAUAAAUAUGUCAGCCAUCUUUUUAAUCCAGCAUGUCUUCUAAACUGGUUACACAUUUAUUGAAAAAAAAAUACAAAAAAAAUUACUGAUAUUCCCGUAAAAUGGUCCCAUUUGUGCUGAUUGGCUCAUUUGACAUUUAUUCAUGUACAAGGUUUGUGCUGGUUGGUUCAUUAUUCCUACAUUUAUGUAAGGUUUGUGCUGAUUGGUUCAUUAUUCCUACAUUUAUGUAAGGUGUGUAUUGAUUGGUCGACAACUUUUGAGAGAGAUAAUGAUUGGCCCAUUAUACCAUAUAGCUAUAUUUAUGUAAAUAUGUAUUAAUUGGACAAUAAAAAAAAUGACCUUUCUUUAUGGCAAGAAUGCAUUGAUUGGUUCAUUUUACCUUUCAUUUAUCUAAGGUAUGCAUCGAUUGGUCAAUUACAUCUGCUAUUCAUUUUAGGUUUGUAACAGUUCAUCUAUUAUGCUUAACGGCAGAUUUGGUCGUUUUGGGAGACAUUUGUGCUGAUUGAAUAAAACAAAUGGUUUGCAAAAAUAUCUCCAUUUAAAAUAGACUUGUACGCUCAGUAUUACAAUGUCAGUCUUGUGUGCCCUGUAGAGAAAAACCUAUUGUAGCAUUCCCUGCACAAUGACUUGAGGUGCUUUGUCAACAUUUUGUACAUAUAUAUUUUUUUUUCAUUAUUGAAUAUUCCAUUUUUCUUGAAUGUGUAUAUUUCCCUUGCUAAAUGUUACAGUUGUGUAUAAUGUUAUUAGUACAGGUAGUGGUUUAUUAAAAGUCAUUUCUCUGACAUCUUUUCAUUAAAAAUCAAUAUCAUACAAAUACA